This 126-nucleotide microRNA precursor is filed under the name Gossypium hirsutum (cotton). Its description in RNAcentral is "MIR7502 microRNA precursor family". It matches the Rfam family "MIR7502 microRNA precursor family". The record is from Rfam by way of RNAcentral. Lineage: Eukaryota; Viridiplantae; Streptophyta; Magnoliopsida; Malvales; Malvaceae.
UGUUAAAAAUUCUAUCCAUUUCUAUUGUUAAAAUUUGAGUGGUUGAUAAAAUGACUAGAAAACGUGUACAUCAUUUUAACGUAAAAAGAUUAAUUUUUAAUAGUGAAAAUAGAUGAAUUUUUAAUA